UACAGAGGGGGCAAGCGUUAUUCGGAAUUAUUGGGCGUAAAGGGCGCGUAGGCGGCGAUUCAAGUGACGGGUGAAAUCCCUCGGCUUAACCUGGGAACUGCAUUGGUGACUGGCAGGCUUUGAGUGUGGCAGAGGGAGGUAGAAUUCCACGUGUAGCAGUGAAAUGCGUAGAGAUGUGGAGGAAUACCGAUGGCGAAGGCAGCCUCCUGGGCCAACACUGACGCUCAUGCACGAAAGCGUGGGGAGCAAACAGG
Molecule: ribosomal RNA, 254 nt
Filed under: uncultured bacterium
Lineage: Bacteria
Description: partial 16S ribosomal RNA
Rfam family: Bacterial small subunit ribosomal RNA
Source: RNAcentral